GCAUCCUCCCUUCCUGACCUGCUGCAGGGCCGCCUGGAGCUCAGGCCUGCUCAGUGUCCACACCCCGCCCCCGAGGCGUGCUGCCCUCCAGGGCUGUGCAGAAACCUGGGUCUCUGCACCAUGGGCAGCUCCUGCAGCUCCUGCUGCUGUGCUUCAGUGUUUGCUCCAGGACACCGUGGUCUUGGCACCAGCCAACACAGCUGCAUGAUGCUAUGAACUAUCAGCCCCUGCUCAGGGCUUGCUGCUGCAAGAAGUCGAGGGCCUCUCACCUCCCCUGGGAUCUGUUGGGCAGGAAGGCACCGAGGCCCCAUGUUCUUGCCAUGCAUGUGGCAGGAGUUGGUGCUUCUGCUUGGCCACUUGGUGACAGGAUGCCCACUGGCUUUCUCCAUGGUGAGAACCACAGCAUCUUCAUUGUCUGAAGGGGGCUGGGCCCCAAGAGCUGCCAACCACCUGUCCUGGGAGACUAGGCUGUCUCUGCACCCUCCCCACAGGCCUGGGAGGCAGGCUCGGAAUGAAGCAACCCUGCAGGAAGGGCAGAGCUGCUUCCACACCACAGGCUGGGCCAACACCUGGUGCUGCCAGGGUUGAGCGGAGCAGGGUGGCUGGAGGAGAGUGGCUCUUAAAUGAGCUGGAGACCUACUGGAUGGGUGCACACAGGGAUCCUUUCAUCUAGCACCCACCAUCCUUCUAUAAGUCAUCUGUCCACCCACCCAUCACCCGUCCACUGUCCAUCCACCCACCCUUUGCUGCGUGCUCCUUGAGUGCGUACUUCUCUAGGCCUGUUGGAAACAGGAUGGACCGGGGCCUACCCUCAUGUUGACUCUAGGACAAGGGGCUACUGUUAGCAUUCCUGUGUGACACCGUGUCCGCACCAGUCCUGGGAAGGAAGAGAGCCAAGUAGGGGUGGAGUGUGACACCUGGUGUUGGGGAAGUCCACGAGAAGGUUCAGGAGAGCCCAGGUAAGGAGGCCAGACCUCGGGCAUCCAGGGGAGCCCUCCAGCAGGGCCGAGUCCCUUGUGGGAGAAGGAUCAGCAGGACCUCAGUGGGCCCGAAGAAGGGGCCACAUGGGCCUGAGGGGUCAGGAGGUUGGAUAUUUAGAGCAGCACUGGGGAUCGGAUCCAGGGGUGCUCUAGAACGGAGCUACACCCCAGCCCUUUUUAUCUUCUAUUUUCAGAUAGAGUCUUGCUCAGCUGUUGAGGCCAGCCUCGGCUUCCCGAGUCAUUGGGAUUACAGGCGUGCUCCACUACACCUGCCACUGAUGGGGUCUGGGCAGUGGAGCCUGUGAUGGGGAAUGGGGGACCGGGCGACCCCUGUGUGUUCUGCUGCAGUUUCCAGGGACACUGGGAAUUUCAUUAGAAUGGUAAAUUUGGGGUCUGAGGCCUCCAAGCUUUGGGUGGGGCAGGGUACAUCUAGCCUUAACCUGACCGUAUCUGUUCCCCUUGCCCGUAGACAACACAUUUGACACCAAAAUUACUGGGAAUUGAGAGGCCACCACCCCCAGUCAUGCCUACACAUGGCUUCACUGCAGAAAGCUGGCACCCACCUGUGUUGGGGGGUCCUUGUGUACCCCACCUCUCUGCCACCCUAGACAUCCCAAAGUCCCAAUAUCCAGUUGCAGGGCAUCCUGAGAGACAAGCAAACAAGGGUGCCCCUUCCCCUCCCUAGAGACAGCUUGGGCUGCAGGUUCCUGGGGUGUUUCAGCUGGAACAAGAAGCACAGGAAGGUCUGGGCCUUCCAACUGGAUUGAAUUGGGCCACCUGUCAAGUUUAGGAAUGUGUUUGACACCUGUGGCCACCAGGAUAGAGCUGACCUACCUGCCUAGUGGCAAAACACAAGAAACUGGUCCCUGUUGCCAUUGAGAAGCCACUAAAUAAACCCCUCCUGGUGCUGCCCUGCCUCUGGAGUAGCCAGUAAUAAAAAUCCCCAAACUGAAGUGCAAAAGAGGAUCUGUUGGCUCAUGUAACUGACAAGUCAAUGAGGAGGUCUAACUUCAGGUGUGGCUUGAUCCAGGUGCAACUUGAUCCAGUUGCUCAUGGGAGCCCCUGGUCUCAGUGCUGCCCUUUCCCACUGGCCACAUUCUUUCAUGUAGCACCAAGGAUGCACC
This 2104-nucleotide long non-coding RNA is filed under the name Marmota monax (woodchuck). The record is from RNAcentral. Lineage: Eukaryota; Metazoa; Chordata; Mammalia; Rodentia; Sciuridae.